UGCGUAGGUGGUUUCGUGUGUCGGACGUGAAAGCCCAUGGCUCAACUGUGGAAUUGCACCCGAAACUGCGGAACUAGAGUGCAGGAAGGGAGAGCGGAAUUCUUGGUGUAGCGGUGAAAUGCGUUGAUAUCAAGAAGAACACCGGUGGCGAAGGCGGCUCUCUGGAAUGUUACUGACACUGAGGCACGAAAGCUGGGGAGCAAACA
Molecule: ribosomal RNA, 206 nt
Filed under: uncultured bacterium
Lineage: Bacteria
Description: partial 16S ribosomal RNA
Rfam family: Bacterial small subunit ribosomal RNA
Source: RNAcentral